AAGAAGAAUUAUGAAAUACAGAGACUGCUAAUUAUCUGAGCCUAAAGUUAGAAUCUUUAGUCUUCUUA
Molecule: transfer RNA, 68 nt
Filed under: Ommatotriton vittatus (southern banded newt)
Lineage: Eukaryota; Metazoa; Chordata; Amphibia; Caudata; Salamandridae
Description: tRNA-Ser
Source: RNAcentral